GAAGGUCACGGCGAGACGAGCCGUUUAUCAUUACGAUAGGUGUCAAGUGGAAGUGCAGUGAUGUAUGCAGCUGGACGGCAUCCUAACAGACCGGUAGACUUGA
This 103-nucleotide ribosomal RNA is filed under the name Sinojackia microcarpa. RNAcentral's name for it is "4.5S ribosomal RNA". The record is from RNAcentral. Lineage: Eukaryota; Viridiplantae; Streptophyta; Magnoliopsida; Ericales; Styracaceae.